This 497-nucleotide ribosomal RNA is filed under the name uncultured bacterium. RNAcentral describes it as "partial 16S ribosomal RNA". It matches the Rfam family "Bacterial small subunit ribosomal RNA", at positions 28 to 507 of the family's 1533-position model. The record is from RNAcentral.
GAUGAACGCUGGCGGCGUGCCUAAUACAUGCAAGUCGAGCGAACAGACGAGGAUCUUGCUCCUCUUACGUUAGCGGCGGACGGGUGAUUCACACGUGGAUAACCGACCUAUAAGACUAGGAUAACUUCGGGAAACCGGAUCUAAUACCGGAUAAUAUAUUGAACCGCAUGGUUCAUUAGUGAAAGCCGUUUUUGCUGUCACUUAUUGAUGUAUCCAGGCCGGAUUAGCUAGUUGGUAGGGUAACGGCUUACCAAGGCGACGAUGCGUAGCUGACCUGAGAGGAUGAUCAGUGAAACUGGAAAUGAGACACGGUCAAGACUCCGACGGGAGGCAGCAGUGGGGAAUAUUGGACAAUGGGCGAAAGCCUGAUCCAGCCAUGACGCGUGUGUGAAGAAGGGCUUCGGAUUGUAAAGCACUUUAAGUUGGGAGGAAGGGCAGUAAGUUAAUACCUUGCUGUUUUGACGUUACCAACAGAAUAAGCACCGGCUAACUUCGUG